Molecule: ribosomal RNA, 253 nt
Filed under: uncultured bacterium
Lineage: Bacteria
Description: partial 16S ribosomal RNA
Rfam family: Bacterial small subunit ribosomal RNA
Source: RNAcentral
UACGGGGGGGGCAAGCGUUGUUCGGAAUUACUGGGCGUAAAGGGCUCGUAGGCGGCCAACUAAGUCAGACGUGAAAUCCCUCGGCUUAACCGGGGAACUGCGUCCGAUACUGGGAGGCUUGAAUCCGGGAGAGGGAUGUGGAAUUCCAGGUGUAGCGGUGAAAUGCGUAGAUAUCUGGAGGAACACCGGUGGCGAAGGCGGCAUCCUGGACCGGUAUUGACGCUGAUGCGCGAAAGCCAGGGGAGCAAACGGG